RNAcentral lists this ribosomal RNA (274 nucleotides) under uncultured bacterium. RNAcentral's name for it is "partial 16S ribosomal RNA". It matches the Rfam family "Bacterial small subunit ribosomal RNA", at positions 523 to 796 of the family's 1533-position model. The record is from RNAcentral.
CUACGGAGGGUGCAAGCGUUAUUCGGAAUCACUGGGCGUAAAGGACGCGUAGGCGGGUUGGCAAGUCAGAUGUGAAAUCCUACAGCUUAACUGUAGAACUGCAUUUGAAACUGCUAACCUAGAGUAUGGGAGGGGGAGAUGGAAUUAGUGGUGUAGGGGUAAAAUCCGUAGAUAUCACUAGGAAUACCAAAAGCGAAGGCGAUCUCCUGGAACAUAACUGACGCUAAGGCGUGAAAGCGUGGGGAGCAAACAGGAUUAGAAACCCUAGUAGUCC